CGGGUGAGUAAUGCCUGGGAAAUUGCCCUGAUGUGGGGGAUAACCAUUGGAAACGAUGGCUAAUACCGCAUAAUGCCUUCGGGCCAAAGAGGGGGACCUUCGGGCCUCUCGCGUCAGGAUAUGCCCAGGUGGGAUUAGCUAGUUGGUGAGGUAAUGGCUCACCAAGGCGACGAUCCCUAGCUGGUCUGAGAGGAUGAUCAGCCACACUGGAACUGAGACACGGUCCAGACUCCUACGGGAGGCAGCAGUGGGGAAUAUUGCACAAUGGGCGCAAGCCUGAUGCAGCCAUGCCGCGUGUAUGAAGAAGGCCUUCGGGUUGUAAAGUACUUUCAGUCGUGAGGAAGGUUCAUGCGUUAAUAGCGUAUGGAUUUGACGUUAGCGACAGAAGAAGCACCGGCUAACUCCGUGCCAGCAGCCGCGGUAAUACGGAGGGUGCGAGCGUUAAUCGGAAUUACUGGGCGUAAAGCGCAUGCAGGUGGUUCGUUAAGUCAGAUGUGAAA
Molecule: ribosomal RNA, 500 nt
Filed under: Vibrio ponticus
Lineage: Bacteria; Pseudomonadati; Pseudomonadota; Gammaproteobacteria; Vibrionales; Vibrionaceae
Description: bacterial SSU rRNA
Rfam family: Bacterial small subunit ribosomal RNA
Source: RNAcentral